This 482-nucleotide long non-coding RNA is filed under the name Pelobates cultripes (western spadefoot toad). Lineage: Eukaryota; Metazoa; Chordata; Amphibia; Anura; Pelobatidae. The record is from RNAcentral.
UGCAGUUAUACAAUACGUUAUCAAGUUGCAAUAAAACAACAGUGAUAUAACCAACAACCUUUAUCUUCAAACGUUAUUCCAAGCAUCCCAGAAAAUUUAUUUUUCAAUUUCUUUCCCUACCUUCCCUCCCUACCUUAGCUUAACCUUCGAUCCCUAUCCGGAAGUAUAUAUCGUUGGUUGUGGAGAUUGUGAGAUUAUAACAUCGAGACUCGCAGGUCUCCACAGUUGUAGUGCGUAAUCAGAACAACAAUAAGCCAAGUGUGUAAGCUGAUGGGGUAACCAAACGGUUGCCAGUAAAGUGGCUCGUGGGCCCAAAUGUAAUUUGGGUUCGCAGGUCUCUAGUGGAUUUGCCAUGUGUACCUGAACAAAUAUACAUGGUGGAGGUUAGUGGGCAAUGUGUCACUACCAGUAUUACAUGGAGCAAGUAGCAGCCCGCUUAUCUGAACAUAUCUUGGGACAAUUUGGUAAAUUACAUGUUUGGG